AAAAAAACCAAUUCCCAAAUCUAAACGCCAUUUUUUCACCAUGGGAGGAGAUUGGCGAUCUCUGCGAAUUCCUUCAUUGAUCUGCGCUAUUUAUCUUCUUCUUACAUUCAACAAUGUCUACUGUUUCUACCUACCCGGUGUUGCGCCUGAAGAUUUCCAAAAGGGAGAUCUUCUGUCUGUGAAAGUGAACAAGCUGACCUCUACAAAGACUCAGCUUCCUUAUUCAUUCUAUUCUGUUCCUUUCUGUCGUCCAGAAAAUAUCAUUGAUAGCAGAGAAAAUCUUGGAGAAGUGCUACGUGGUGAUCGAAUUGAGAACUCCCCUUUUGCGUUUAAAAUGACGGAGCCAGAGAUGUGUCAUGUUGUUUGCAGGCUUGUUCUUGAUGACAAGAAAGCUAAGGAAUUUAAAGAAAAAAUUGAAGACGAAUAUCGUGUGAACAUGAUACUAGAUAAUCUGCCUUUAGUUGUUCCAGUUCGGAGGUUAGAGCAAGAAGCCCCUCCUGCCUAUCAGCAGGGAGUUUAUAUUGGUGUAAAGGGACAAUAUGCUGGAAGCAAG
This 553-nucleotide unclassified non-coding RNA is filed under the name Hevea brasiliensis (rubber tree). The record is from RNAcentral. Lineage: Eukaryota; Viridiplantae; Streptophyta; Magnoliopsida; Malpighiales; Euphorbiaceae.